GGGCUAGGGGGCAUAGCGCUUACCGAACCUUAUCAAACUCCGAAUGCCACAUACUUUGAGCUCGGCAGUCAGACUACGAAUGAUAAGAUCCGUGGUCAAAAGGGAAACAGCCCAGAUCGUCAGCUAAGGUCCCAAAGUGUAAGUUAAGUGGGAAAGGAUGUGAGAUUUCUAAGACAACUAGGAUGUUGGCUUAGAAGCAGCCAUUCAUUAAAAGAGUGCGUAAUAGCUCACUAGUCGAGAGAUCUUGCGCCGAAAAUGUAACGGGGCUAAACUUACCACCGAAGCUACGGGCUUGAACUUAGUUCAAGCGGUAGGAGAGCGUCGUAACCGGGCUGAAGUCGUACCGUAAGGAGCGGUGGACUGGUUACGAGUGAGAAUGUUGGCAUCAGUAGCGAGAUGUGGGUGAGAAUCCCACAGGCCGAAAACCUAAGGUUUCCUCAGGAAGGUUCGUCCGCUGAGGGUUAGUCGGGACCUAAGCCGAGGCCGAAAGGCGUAGGUGAUGGACAACUGGUUGAUAUUCCAGUACCACUACCAUCGUUAUUAUCGAUGGCGUGACGCAGGAGGAUAGUGUGUGCUAGCUAUUGGAUGCUAGUCUAAGCGUUUAGGCAGUGAGAGUAGGCAAAUCCGCUCUCAUAAUGCUGAGGCGUGAUGGGGAAGGUUCUACGGAAC
This 669-nucleotide ribosomal RNA is filed under the name Clostridium perfringens. RNAcentral describes it as "bacterial LSU rRNA". It matches the Rfam family "Bacterial large subunit ribosomal RNA", at positions 916 to 1585 of the family's 2925-position model. The record is from RNAcentral. Lineage: Bacteria; Bacillati; Bacillota; Clostridia; Eubacteriales; Clostridiaceae.